UACGUAGGGGGCAAGCGUUGUCCGGAUUUAUUGGGCGUAAAGAGCGUGUAGGCGGUUCGGUAGGUCCGUUGUGAAAACUCGAGGCUCAACCUCGAGACGCCGAUGGAAACCAUCGAACUAGAGUCCGGAAGAGGAGAUUGGAAUUCCUGGUGUAGCGGUGAAAUGCGCAGAUAUCAGGAGGAACACCACAGUCGAAGGCAGAUCUCUGGGACGUAACUGACGCUGAGACGACGAAGCGUGGGGAGCAAACAGG
RNAcentral lists this ribosomal RNA (253 nucleotides) under uncultured bacterium. RNAcentral's name for it is "partial 16S ribosomal RNA". It matches the Rfam family "Bacterial small subunit ribosomal RNA", at positions 524 to 776 of the family's 1533-position model. The record is from RNAcentral.